CCUACGGGGGGCAGCAGUGGGGAAUAUUGGACAAUGGGGGCAACCCUGAUCCAGCCAUGCCGCGUGUGUGAAGAAGUCCCUCGGGUUGUAAAGCACUUUCAGUGAGGAAGAACGCCUGGUGGUUAAUACCCAUCAGGAAAGACAUCACUCACAGAAGAAGCACCGGCUAACUCCGUGCCAGCAGCCGCGGUAAUACGGAGGGUGCGAGCGUUAAUCGGAAUUACUGGGCGUAAAGCGCGCGUAGGUGGCUUGAUAAGCCGGUUGUGAAAGCCCCGGGCUCAACCUGGGAACGGCAUCCGGAACUGUCAAGCUAGAGUGCAGGAGAGGAAGGUAGAAUUCCCGGUGUAGCGGUGAAAUGCGUAGAGAUCGGGAGGAAUACCAGUGGCGAAGGCGGCCUUCUGGACUGACACUGACACUGAGGUGCGAAAGCGUGGGUAGCAAACAGGAUUAGAUACCCUGGUAGUC
This 465-nucleotide ribosomal RNA is filed under the name Vreelandella stevensii. RNAcentral's name for it is "partial 16S ribosomal RNA". It matches the Rfam family "Bacterial small subunit ribosomal RNA", at positions 338 to 795 of the family's 1533-position model. Lineage: Bacteria; Pseudomonadati; Pseudomonadota; Gammaproteobacteria; Oceanospirillales; Halomonadaceae. The record is from RNAcentral.